RNAcentral lists this ribosomal RNA (468 nucleotides) under uncultured bacterium. RNAcentral's name for it is "partial 16S ribosomal RNA". It matches the Rfam family "Bacterial small subunit ribosomal RNA", at positions 28 to 507 of the family's 1533-position model. The record is from RNAcentral.
GACGAACGCUGGCGGCGUGCUUAACACAUGCAAGUCGAACGGAAAGGCCCUGCAUUUGUGGGGUGCUCGAGUGGCGAACGGGUGAGUAACAAGUGAGUAACCUGCCCUUGACUUUGGGAUAACUUCAGGAAACUGGGGCUAAUAACGGAUAGGAGCUCCUGCUGCAUGGUGGGGGUUGGAAAGUUUCGGCGGUUGGGGAUGGACUCGCGGCUUAUCAGCUUGUUGGUGGGGUAGUGGCUUACCCAGGCUUUGACGGGUAGCCGGCCUGAGAGGGUGACCGGCCACAUUGGGACUGAGAGACGGCCCAGACUCCUACGGGAGGCAGCAGUGGGGAAUAUUGCACAAUGGGCGGAAGCCUGAUGCAGCAACGCCGCGGGCGUGAUGACGGCCUUCGGGGUGUAAACCGCUUUCGCCUGUGACGAAGCGUGAGUGACGGUAAUGGGUAAAGAAGCACCGGCUAACUACGUG